RNAcentral lists this long non-coding RNA (701 nucleotides) under Equus asinus (donkey). RNAcentral's name for it is "lncRNA (ENSEASG00005023982.1)". The record is from RNAcentral. Lineage: Eukaryota; Metazoa; Chordata; Mammalia; Perissodactyla; Equidae.
CCGCCUUCAACCUUGGCCGUGCUUCCUGCGCUCUGGUGCAGCCAUGUUCCUUCUCCUUGCACUGCUCGCUGAGCUUGGAAGGCUGCACGCCCGCCUGGAUUCUGACGGGGUAUUCCUGCAGGUCACAGUUCCACGGAAGAUAAAGUCAAACGAGAGUGAAGGUUUAGAGAAGCAGUAUGAUUAUAUGGAAUGAGAAAUGAUGGCUGUAACACAGAAAAUUAUCCAGAUUAUUGACCUUACUAACACUGUACCCAAAUAUCCAGUGAAUGACUCUGUCUAUUUUUGGUACUACAUACCAGUUGCUGAGGUGGAACAGUGAAUAGCAUGGUAGACACCAUCAGGAUUCAGCUUAGCCAUACUAAGAUGUGCUGGGGCCAGGCCAGCUGUUUCUUAAUAUGCCAUUUAAACUCCACAAGUACAGCUGGUUAGUUGUGGAGUCCAAGCUGACUCACCCAAUAAUGGGAUAUCAGGCCAAGAAUCACAAGGCCUCCUCAUAUGUCAAAUCAGUUUCAUUAAGUCCAAUAGGAAGUAGAUAACUUCUUUUCAAAAGUAGUGUAUGAGGCAGCCAUGUCUGGCAGGCAAUGAGUCCAAAACUCCAAGGAGUACCUCCAUGUUCAGGCUGCCUCUCGUUUGCACUGUUUCCCAUUGGCAAGGCAUCAGUCACAGAUACUUGUAGUUCAAAGGGGUGACUAGGGUUGAAG